RNAcentral lists this transfer RNA (66 nucleotides) under Acentrogobius chlorostigmatoides (greenspot goby). Its description in RNAcentral is "tRNA-Cys". Lineage: Eukaryota; Metazoa; Chordata; Actinopteri; Gobiiformes; Gobiidae. RNAcentral also lists the same sequence under 1 other name. The record is from RNAcentral.
AGCCUUGAGGUGUAUUACAUGUUGGAUUGCAAAUCUUAAGUAGCAGAUUGACGUCUGCCGGGGCUU